This is a long non-coding RNA of Galleria mellonella (greater wax moth), 1326 nucleotides long. RefSeq lists it as uncharacterized. The record is from RefSeq and is a predicted model, not a curated record. Lineage: Eukaryota; Metazoa; Arthropoda; Insecta; Lepidoptera; Pyralidae. The transcript has 2 exons.
GUCUGAUGGUAAACUGUUACUCUAGACUUUGGUCGCCAACAACACUAGGGUUGUCACACCUAGUGGCAAACAACCGAAAUAAACUUAAGGUUUAGAUUAAGUCUAUGAACGAAAUGUGCCUUUCACGAAAUUAUCAGGAAAAUAUUUUAUACAACUUAGUAACAACAAACUGAGGGCCUACCCAAUGGAAUGUGGUAAACGUCAACUAUACACAUAAACUCCACCAAGGGCUUAACAGUUACUGUAAAACAAAAUAUGAUUCGAUUGAGUGCAGUUAUGUAUAAUAGCUAGUUAAGACUAUUGAUACAUAGAACAUUCAUUUGUUUUACAAACUGUGGAACGCAACGAAUACGUAUGUAAUCUAAAAACGUUACAACUUUUACGUUUAUUCGACUGCGUCAAAUCUAAAUCUAUUUUAUUAUCAAUCGGAUUUGCUUCCGUGACAAUUGUUGUUGUUUUAUUGUCAAUAUUGCAUCGUAAUCAGGGUAGAAACAGACGGAAAUCGUAUUAAGUCCCAAAGUAGGUUAUACCUAUAUCUACCCGUUAUUGAACAACUGAUCGAAAAUUCAAAACAAAGAUUAUAUAGACAGUUACUUGAUCACGUGAAUCGUUCUUAAUUGAUACACGCUCAAAUGAGAAUAUUUUAAUUAUACAAUUAUAAACAGACAAGAACUCUCGACUAUCUAGCCAGCUCGUCUAUUAAAAAAAAUAUACUAUUAGGGAGGUACACACAUUCAAACGGACCAAUCAAAAUACAUUAAACGAUCACGUUAUAUAAAUUAUAUCUAUUAUCUGACCCCAACGAAACCACGCAUUAGUUUGUUAAAUGUUAUUUACAUUCAUUAACGACUGAUCUGACCUGCGCAUGGGCAUCGUAUAUAGUGAUAUCGCUGUGACAAUUUCUUCAUAUCGCAUUCAGCGCUCUCAGUGUACGGACGUGUCAGUUCUGUGAUCUGUGAAACAAAAUGUAUACUAAUCCGUUUGAAAGGAAGCACUCGUCGCUAAGACAAACAUUGGAUCGGAUUAUAGUGGAGACGAGGCAGAGCAUCAAGAAGAAAAUCAACCUGACGAAGAACAAAACUAGCGGUAGCACGUCUUCCAUGUCUUCGACCUCAAGUUUUGAGUUCAAGAUGAAAUACAACCAGAAAAGAUGAAGUUUUUAACAGCAAUCAGGAUACCAUUCAUAGGAAUUGAUUGUUCCACUCUCGGAAAAGAUCGAGUGUUAUUAAUUAAUCGGCAGUGACGUCAAACGAACCGGUAUUGGAGCACACUGCGGCAUUAGGAAAUUAAAAACAUAAUCAAAUACACAUUUUGUUGGACCUCUAA